This 283-nucleotide RNase P RNA is filed under the name Nitrosopumilaceae archaeon. RNAcentral describes it as "RNase P RNA component". It matches the Rfam family "Archaeal RNase P". From Rfam's summary of the family: Ribonuclease P (RNase P) is a ubiquitous endoribonuclease, found in archaea, bacteria and eukarya as well as chloroplasts and mitochondria. Its best characterised activity is the generation of mature 5'-ends of tRNAs by cleaving the 5'-leader elements of precursor-tRNAs. Lineage: Archaea; Thermoproteati; Nitrososphaerota; Nitrososphaeria; Nitrosopumilales; Nitrosopumilaceae. The record is from RNAcentral.
GCGAGCCGGAGCGCGACACGCUGCCACGGCAGAGGAAACUCCUCCCUCCAGGCAGGAGGCGCGGCCCGGAGAUGGGCAGUCGGAGACGACUGGCGACGGCACAGAGACCAACCCGUUCGGCCACACGAUGAAGGCGAGGGCCGGAGGUUACCGAGAAGCGGGUGUGAAAAGGCCGACCCGCGCGGAGCAAGGCCAAACAGGACCAAUGGCAUCCUGCCGCCGGUCCAGGUGGGCUGCAUAGCGAAAUAUCGCGAAAACAGAAGGAGGGUUACUCCCGGCACGC